CCCUCCCGACUGUUUACCAAAAACACAGCACUCUGCUAACUCGUAAGAGGAUGUAUAGGGUGUGACGCCUGCCCGGUGCUCGAAGGUUAAUUGAUGGGGUUAGCAUUAGCGAAGCUCUUGAUCGAAGCCCGAGUAAACGGCGGCCGUAACUAUAACGGUCCUAAGGUAGCGAAAUUCCUUGUCGGUUAAAUACCGACCUGCAUGAAUGGCGUAACGAGAUGGGAGCUGUCUCAAAGAGGGAUCCAGUGAAAUUGUAGUGGAGGUGAAAAUUCCUCCUACCCGCGGCAAGACGGAAAGACCCCGUGGACCUUUACUAUAACUUGACACUGCUAUUUGGAUAAGAAUGUGCAGGAUAGGUGGGAGGCUUUGAUUAUAUGACGUCAGUUGUAUAGGAGCCAUUGUUGAGAUACCACUCUUUCUUAUUUGGGUAGCUAACCAGCUUGAGUUAUCCUCAAGUGGGACAAUGUCUGGUGGGUAGUUUGACUGGGGCGGUCGCCUCCCAAAUAAUAACGGAGGCUUACAAAGGUUGGCUCAGAACGGUUGGAAAUCGUUCGUAGAGUAUAAAGGUAUAAGCCAGCUUAACUGCAAGACAUACAAGUCAAGCAGAGACGAAAGUCGGUCUUAGUGAUCCGGUGGUUCUGUGUGGAAGGGCCAUCGCUCAAAGGAUAAAAGGUACCCCGGGGAUAACAGGCUGAUCUCCCCCAAGAGCUCACAUCGACGGGGAGGUUUGGCACCUCGAUGUCGGCUCAUCGCAUCCUGGGGCUGGAGCAGGUCCCAAGGGUAUGGCUGUUCGCCAUUUAAAGCGGUACGCGAGCUGGGUUCAGAACGUCGUGAGACAGUUCGGUCCCUAUCUGCCGUGGGCGUAAGAAGAUUGAAGAGAUUUGACCCUAGUACGAGAGGACCGGGUUGAACAAACCACUGGUGUAGCUGUUGUUCUGCCAAGAGCAUCGCAGCGUAGCUAAGUUUGGAAAGGAUAAACGCUGAAAGCAUCUAAGCGUGAAGCCAACUCUAAGAUGAAUCUUCUCUAAGCUCUCUAGAAGACUACUAGUUUGAUAGGCUGGGUGUGUAAUGGAUGAAAGUCCUUUAGCUGACCAGUACUAAUAGAGCGUUUGGCUUAUCUUUAAUAAAGCAU
This 1132-nucleotide ribosomal RNA is filed under the name Campylobacter coli. RNAcentral's name for it is "partial 23S ribosomal RNA". It matches the Rfam family "Bacterial large subunit ribosomal RNA", at positions 1791 to 2925 of the family's 2925-position model. The record is from RNAcentral. Lineage: Bacteria; Pseudomonadati; Campylobacterota; Epsilonproteobacteria; Campylobacterales; Campylobacteraceae.